RNAcentral lists this ribosomal RNA (696 nucleotides) under Flavobacterium sp. RNAcentral describes it as "bacterial SSU rRNA". It matches the Rfam family "Bacterial small subunit ribosomal RNA", at positions 38 to 733 of the family's 1533-position model. The record is from RNAcentral. Lineage: Bacteria; Pseudomonadati; Bacteroidota; Flavobacteriia; Flavobacteriales; Flavobacteriaceae.
AGACAUGCGCGGCUUACACAUGCAAGUCGAGGGGUAUAGGUUUUCGGACCUAGAGACCGGCGCACGGGUGCGUAACGCGUAUGCAAUCUACCUUUCACAGAGGGAUAGCCCAGAGAAAUUUGGAUUAAUACCUCAUAGUAUUAUAGGAUGGCAUCAUUUUAUAAUUAAAGUCACAACGGUGAAAGAUGAGCAUGCGUCCCAUUAGUUAGUUGGUAAGGUAACGGCUUACCAAGACUACGAUGGGUAGGGGUCCUGAGAGGGAGAUCCCCCACACUGGUACUGAGACACGGACCAGACUCCUACGGGAGGCAGCAGUGAGGAAUAUUGGACAAUGGAGGCAACUCUGAUCCAGCCAUGCCGCGUGCAGGAUGACGGUCCUAUGGAUUGUAAACUGCUUUUAUACAGGAAGAAACACUUGCUCGUGAGCAAGCUUGACGGUACUGUAAGAAUAAGGAUCGGCUAACUCCGUGCCAGCAGCCGCGGUAAUACGGAGGAUCCAAGCGUUAUCCGGAAUCAUUGGGUUUAAAGGGUCCGUAGGCGGUUUAGUAAGUCAGUGGUGAAAGCCCAUCGCUCAACGGUGGAACGGCCAUUGAUACUGCUAGACUUGAAUUAUUAGGAAGUAACUAGAAUAUGUAGUGUAGCGGUGAAAUGCUUAGAGAUUACAUGGAAUACCAAUUGCGAAGGCAGGUUACUACU